GUUUUGAGAAAAGCGGCCAGACUCAACUGGGAAUAGAUGGUUGCCGGCGCGGAAAUGCAGCAUACUUAAUCGUAGUGAUUGAGGUGAUAGGUGUAUUCAAGGCUUCGACAUUGUAUGUAUCAGGUGUACCAUGUUCAUCCGGGUCUGGUGGCAAUAUAUCUGGGUGUAUAGUUGCGUACACAAGGUGGCGCGUUUUCAGCAGAGUCCGUGUCGCUGUAUGAAGAAAGCGGAAGUGUUUGAUGAACAUGUUCACAACGGGUUUUAGACGAGGAGCAUGGCAAAAAUACACAAUUG
Dreissena polymorpha is the source of this 294-nucleotide long non-coding RNA. RefSeq lists it as uncharacterized. Lineage: Eukaryota; Metazoa; Mollusca; Bivalvia; Myida; Dreissenidae. The record is from RefSeq and is a predicted model, not a curated record. The transcript has 3 exons.